CUGCAGCUCGAGUGGUGAUCAUUAUUAUUGGGCCUAAAACGUUCGUAGCCUGUCUUAUAAAUGCCUGGGUAAAUCGUGCCGCUUAACGGUACGAAUUCCGGGUAGACUGUAAGACUUGAGACCGGGUGAGGCUAGAGGUACUCCUGGGGUAGAGGUGAAAUUCUGUAAUCCUAGGGGGACCACCAGUGGCGAAGGCGUCUAGCUAGAACGGGUCUGACGGUGAGGAACGAAGCCCUGGGGCGCAAACCGGAUUAGAUACCCGAGUAGUCC
RNAcentral lists this ribosomal RNA (270 nucleotides) under uncultured archaeon. Its description in RNAcentral is "partial 16S ribosomal RNA". It matches the Rfam family "Archaeal small subunit ribosomal RNA", at positions 477 to 747 of the family's 1478-position model. The record is from RNAcentral.